AUUAUAAUACAAAAAAAUUUUUUUUAAUGCUAAUUUAUUACAAAUAACGUAGAGAUUUUAUAUAAUAAAUGUUAUACAAUAAUAUCUCGAGAAAAAAUAAACAUUAAUAUUUCUAUCAAUACAGAAUAACGAUACUGAUACCUCUUAAGGAUCAGUUACGGAAUCGCUACAGACCAGAUAAAUCGUAACGCACAUCCCUAGGUCUCCAUUGUAAACAUACUGCUGUGCGAUGGAAUUGUCAAAUACAAAGCAAUCAGAAUUCAAAAUCGUGGACGAUACACCCUCAUGAAUAGAACGUGAUAUACCUUCAUAUGUGUGGCAUGUUGUAAGCCCAAUUAGCUCUAAUCUGUUGGACGCAACAGUUGAAUUAAAAUAAAAGAUAUUUAUACACAAGAGGAAAGAGUGAAAAAUUAUUAACCCUCUGUCUGCAAUCUAGAUCUUUCUUUAGCAAAGCAAAAUGUCAACUUUUAUAUAAAAGUUUUAACAUUUGAAUUAAAACUUGGUAAUAAAGAGAUUGAAAAGAAAUCUUGAGCUUUUCUAAAUUAUUCAAAAACCAAAAACAGUGAAAAAAAUAUAACUACAGAAAAGACCCAGCUUUACAGAUAAAGAAAGUAAAAAUAUGCAGACGAAAGGCUAAUAAUUUGCUUAAAUUAAAAAAAAAUACUUUUAGGCAAAUAACACAACUACAUAUUUAAAUUAACCUGUAAGCAAAGUGUUUUGCUCGCUUCCUAGAGCCAAUCAAUUGUACCAUCGCAAAGAACUGUUCAGACCCAUCAGAUUUCUCCUGUUUCUCUAGUACCAGCAUAAAAUGAUGGCCAAAACAAGAUUGUAUCAUGACCCAGUCCCUGGUUCCAGGAAAAUUAAUGUUACUUGCCAAAAAAAUAAUUUCAUCGCCUAGAGAAAAUUACACAGAGGACAAUAUAAGUAUAAAGAAAUAAACUACAACUGCGAUUAAACAGCAAAAAUUCAAUACCUCGUAAUGUAAUUCUUUUGUGACUUGUAACAAGGUGUGGCAUCACUUGUUCCAGCGAUCCUUGCCAUUUGCAGGACACGCCUGGACAGGGACAGCUGUAUGGACAGAACUCACACGCAUUUUCAUGAUCUUCCUUUUCCGUGUGCACCAGGACAACUGUGCAACCACUGGUGGAAUAUUUGCAUGGAAACAUGACAUUACUUAUCAUCUUUUCCAUAGCCAAAUUACGGAUGUUACCUACGUUGACCAAAUGUUAUCUGGUUAAAUGCAAUCUCAACAGCAAAGAAAAAUAAAUUUCUUGAGAAAAUCUGAACGUACCCAGUGGACCCCUGCAUGUGGGGCAGCAGGAGAGCUUCGGUAUACAAUUUGUGCAGACUAGAUGUCCACUCUGACACUGCAGAAUAGGUGGAAGCGCAUAAUCGUGGCAAACGGGACAUUCGAAGAGGCUUGCUAAGUCGGUGGAACUGCUCAGGGCGGACACGGUCGACGCGGAAGUGCUUGCGACUCCUUGUCCUCGCUUGUCCGUAUUGAUGUUUAGUUGAGACAUUUUGUUCUUUAGAUUAUGUAUUGAAGAUUGUCACACACACUCUGAUCCGAACGAUAAUCUGUUUUUCAAACUGUCUCAGCGAUGCAUUUCUGUUGGUAGCUAGCUUCUAGCUAAUUCACUUCUCUGCAAACUUGCAAUGUUCAUAUAAGAUAUAACGUAUAUAUAAGAUAUUGCAUCGACUCGACAUCUCGUUUAAUUUUGAAGUACUCGCAAAAACGAAAUUAUAUAUGUUAAUACAUGCUUUUCUUCUCUUUUUGUCUACAGGUAUUUAUCUCUUUUUCUUAUAAAUGUACAUGGAAUAAACUACAAAUUUUGCCUGGCUACUUUUAAGUUUUUAAUCUUAAUAAUUAAACAGUAAAAAACUUUCUAUUAAAAUAGAAUAUUAAUGUAUCACUAUUAAUGUGAAGUACAAAAGCUCUAGAUAUUUUUUUAAACUGCAAUCUCUGUAUAUAUAUUUUUUUAUGCGCUCUAUCAUUGUAAUUAAAAAAAGUUAUGAGAUACGAUUCUGUGAGUUAUGCCAAAAUUUUGUCUGUACAAUUAUCUAAAGACCUUAAUUUAGAGUAGUCUAAAAAUUUUGUAUUAUUACACAAAUUUUUAAAUUGUCCAAGGUUUAAUAAACUCCACACAUCUAAUUGUGCUUUUUUCGAUCUUUGUUCUAAGCUCUAAACAUUGCAGUUGAGAUCUACAGGUCUAGUUCUGAGAUAAUUAAAAGUUAAACCGAGGUGAAUCUCAUCUCGGAUUAAAUUUUAUUUUAAUCUGCAUUAGAAUUUAGAGCUCAAAACAAAAAAAUAAAGAAAACAACAUCACGCAUAUCUAGAACCUAAACCUAAACCUAAACAAUUGACGAUAAUCACCAACUGGUAUUAUGCAAAACAAGCCGCGACAUGCGGUUUUUUCCCUUCUUACAACUUUACGCGUUGUGAAAAGAAGAAACAGGAAUUUGCCGCGCUCGUCAUCAGAAACUUACCGAUUGCGUGGGCGAUUAGCAAGCCUCAAGGACAAAUACACGCGGUGAUGAUCGUCUGCGUUCAAAGCAGCUUUGCAACUGUUGUAAAAUUCUUCAACACGAUUGAUUCUUGCUCUUGGUUCCUGUUAGAUCACGGCAUCGAUCAUGUAAUUUCACGUGAAACUUUCCACUUUUCAUUUUCCGCUCAGUCUCAUUUCACGUGAACUUUUUCAGGAACCUAAAUAUGAAUACCGGCCUUGGCUCACUUUCAGUGCUGGCACUGCUGGCAUUCCUCUUCCGUAUAUAAUAGAGUAUAUAUACUUAAAAGAGAAAUCCCACGAUCUAGAAACACUGGCUACCGGGAUUAAUAAUUGAUAAUUUUGUAUUGAUAUAGCAGAAUCUGCGAUCCUUGUUGCUGACUACACUUUGGUUUUGGCAUUCCUUGUACGUUCUCUUUUAUUUGGUACAAAGAAGAUAAGAGUUUUUUAAUAAAGAAAUCCGUAAUAAAAUUUAUUUAGUUUUGCACGCAUAAGAUUAAUUUAACGGGAGCGCCCCGAUUGACCACGUCCCAAUUGACCACAACUUUUCUAAUUGGUGGUUCAACAGAAAAACUCAUAGCAUUCAUUGUUAAAAAUAAUGUGGUCAAUUGUAACGUGAUCAAUCGGGGCGCUUCUAAUUUAACUUAAAUUAGAGUAAAAGUUAAUUUUCAGAAGUUGCAUUUAUGUUAAAUUAAAAAGCUAUAUAAUCUAUUAGAUCAAUGUAAGACAUGAUCUGCACAUUUCGAUCAAAUUCCGAACCCAACGCUUAUUACUUUCCCUAUUGUCAUGAAAUUUCAGUUUGACAAUCAUAACAUAAACACGGCGCGCAUUGCUCUCCCACUAUACAAAAUAACGUAUUAAUAUGUUUCAUUAAUAUUGCUAAUUUAGUAUUUGUUACUACAUAUAUAAACAUUUAAUAACAACAUGUUUGAUAAAUGUUGUUAAAUGACUUAAUUUAAUUUUAUGAGGUACUUAGUGUACAUUACUAUUAAGUUUAGUUUAGCUA
This is a long non-coding RNA of Monomorium pharaonis (pharaoh ant), 3510 nucleotides long. RefSeq lists it as uncharacterized. The record is from RefSeq and is a predicted model, not a curated record. NCBI's taxonomy places the organism in Eukaryota, Metazoa, Arthropoda, Insecta, Hymenoptera, Formicidae. The transcript is spliced from 2 exons.